Molecule: non-coding RNA, 110 nt
Organism: Canis lupus familiaris (dog)
Lineage: Eukaryota; Metazoa; Chordata; Mammalia; Carnivora; Canidae
Source: Rfam
AGCUUUGCGCAGUGACAGUAUCGUAGCCAAUGAGGUUUAUCCGAGGCGCGAUUAUUGCUAAAAUUGAGAAUAUUUAAUAUUUUAAUAAUAAAAAAUAAAUAACACGUUAU